GACGAACGCUGGCGGCGUGCUUAACACAUGCAAGUCGAACGGAAAGGCCCUGCUUGCAGGGUACUCGAGUGGCGAACGGGUGAGUAACACGUGGGUGAUCUGCCCUGCACUUCGGGAUAAGCCUGGGAAACUGGUCUAAUACCGGAUAGGAGCCAUUUUUAGUGUGGUGGUUGGAAAGUUUUUUCGGUGUAGGAUGAGCUCGCGGCCUAUCAGCUUGUUGGUGGGGUAAUGGCCUACCAAGGCGGCGACGGGUAGCCGGCCUGAGAGGGUGGACGGCCACAUUGGGACUGAGAUACGGCCCAGACUCCUACGGGAGGCAGCAGUGGGGAAUAUUGCACAAUGGGCGCAAGCCUGAUGCAGCGACGCCGCGUGGGGGAUGACGGCCUUCGGGUUGUAAACUCCUUUCGCUAGGGACGAAGCUUUUUGUGACGGUACCUAGAUAAGAAGCACCGGCUAACUACGUG
Molecule: ribosomal RNA, 464 nt
Filed under: uncultured bacterium
Lineage: Bacteria
Description: partial 16S ribosomal RNA
Rfam family: Bacterial small subunit ribosomal RNA
Source: RNAcentral